CGAUUAUUCGGACGGGGUGAUUUCACACAUGCGCAGUGCCCAGGGUCGUGGUGAGGCGCAUGCGUACAAGCUCCGAGCAGCGGUUGGAUAGACAGAGAAGGGGAACCGGUCCGGCGGCCUUCCGGGCUGCGUCCGUCGCGCUCGGGUUUCGGCCGCGCCGGCUGUGGAGGCGAGUGGGGAGGAGAGCAGAGGCCGUUAAACAGCUGGCUCUCGCCCUGUGGAGGACCCUAGGAGUCGUAGUCUCUUCCACCGAAGCAUGCUGGGAAUUGUAGUUCUACCCAGCGGCUCCCUCACACUGGGGCAUCAUGGGAGUUGUAGUCUUGCUCCCGAAGCAUGAUGGGAGCUGUAGGCCUUACCAGGUGUUUCAUGGGAGUUGUAGUUUGUUAAUGAGCCAUGUUGGGCCAUAUGACAGUGCUAGAGAUGUCCAGCAUGCACAACAUGGGGCCUAGAUGCAUAUUAUCUUUGGGGACCAGUGUUGUGUUGGGUGCCACUCACUGACCACCCAACCCCAGCUCCCCUCCAUACACAGUGCAGCCGGGACUUAUGGAGCAAAAACAGCCAUUGCCCCUGCACAAGCUCUGUUCCUCCACCUCCUCAGAUGGAGCCAGAAACAGAUGCUCAGGAAGAAAAACAACACUGGAAAAACACAGCGAGACGAUCCACUCAAAGCCCACGAGAGGAUAACUUCGAAGGCCCUUCCUCUUCUUUUAAGAAGCUAUGUCCUGCCAAACCCUCCCCCAGCUUUCUUGAGCUUCCAUCUUCCCAACGGAGGCCCAGCCCAGGUCUACCCUGUGCCCAGGCUGCCAGGAAAGGACAGAAAAAAUUCACCCCUGAUCAUCAGCCACAGGAUUGUUACGGCCUACUGGAGUGCAUGCACAACAACAUCCAGAUCCAAACCCAGAUCGCUCUGGCACAAUUGAGCAUCCUGGAAGGCUUGCAGGAAUCCAUGAACUUGCUUCUGGC
This 963-nucleotide long non-coding RNA is filed under the name Chrysemys picta bellii (western painted turtle). RNAcentral describes it as "lncRNA (ENSCPBG00000025862.1)". Lineage: Eukaryota; Metazoa; Chordata; Testudines; Emydidae. The record is from RNAcentral.